Long non-coding RNA from Raphanus sativus (radish), 1497 nucleotides. RefSeq lists it as uncharacterized. The record is from RefSeq and is a predicted model, not a curated record. Lineage: Eukaryota; Viridiplantae; Streptophyta; Magnoliopsida; Brassicales; Brassicaceae. The transcript is spliced from 2 exons.
AUUUUACUAACCAAAAUACCGAAAACCGAAUCAAACCGAACCAAAACCAAACCGAUAUCCGGUAUGAACACCCGUAAUCCAAAUAAAAGCGAACUAUUGUUUCAUUCUCUAAAACAUAAUAAAAAUAAUAACUUCACUUCGCGCAAGGCGCGGAUCUUAUCCUAGUAAGUAGUAAAAUUACAAACACAAUUCUGUAGGAAACAAAUUUCUGUUGGAAAAGAAAAAAUUCAGGGAAUUAUAUUGUGUGUAAGCAUUUAUUGUGUAUAUCCUAAUACGGAGAUUUAGGCAUAAAAAAGGAGAAUUCAAAAUCAAAUCUGCUGAACUCAGCAAAAUACAAAUUUAAAUUUUGGUUUUGCACGUGAAGUCUACUAAUUUAUGCUUAGGUUUCAAUAAUUAAAUUUGGUUUCCUGAUUUUGUUCAAAAAAAUGGUUUCCUGAUUAAAUAUUUAUAAAUGAAAACCCUAAUUUCAUUCUUCUUAUCUUCUCUGGCGGCGUUUCAUCUACUCUCUCUUGUCUCAUUUUUUUUCUGAGAGCAUCUCCAAUGUACACCUAUAUAUUUUUCUCUAAAAUAGAGAUCUCUAUUAUAGAGAAAAAUAUAGAGAUUAAAAUAGAGGUGGGUUGGAGAUGGUCUGAUGCCAAAGAACCAAGCAAGUCUUCUUGUGCUCAAAGGUCUCUGUCUCUCUCUCUUUGUUUGAUUCGUUUUUGGGUCAUGUAUUGAUCUGAGUUUCACGCUUGGGUCUAGCUAAUUUUACUCAUGUCGUUGUAUUUCAGAUCUGUAUAAGAACCCGUCUGAUAGUUUCACAGUCACCUUCCCUAUCACGUCGAUAUGUUAAAACAUCUCGCUCUCUGUUUGUGGUGCAGCCAUGGAACCUCUCUUUCUCUCUCUGUAUGAAGCUUAUGGUGGUCUCCUCUCGGUGGUUCAGCCAAAGCAGCGAGGCAGCGUCGGUUUUAUCUCCUCCGUUCUUCCUCUUUGCUUCACAACUCAAUCAAUCUUUAGUGCUUCUCAGCUCAAAGGUGUAAAACAUCAUGUCGCUUCUUCUACUCCUACGCUCUUAAGUUUUGCUGCUUGAUGUCGUUCUUUAUGUUUGCUCAUGGAAGACUACACCCUUGGUGUUGGAAUAAUGUAGCUUUCAAGGCGAGAGAAGCUAUAACACAGCCAAAAGAUUGAGAAGCAGAUCUGAUGAGUUUCACAUAAUCAAAGACUCUUAUUUAUAGGUUUAGAUUCCUAACCAUUCAGAAAAGAAAGGAUGCAUUUAAUGAAACAAAGUGGGAGGAGUGGGUCGGUUGUCUUCUGAGUUGGAAGAUAGAACAUGAAUCGACAUCAGGAUGGCAACGUCGGCCGAAAAAGAUGUAGUUAACGUGAGUUGGUUUAAUCCAUUAAACCAAUUUGGAGUUUCGUUUGAUCUAUUCCAUGGCCCAUUUCUAAAUAGUCUGUUAUUAUUUUCAUUGGCCCAACUCUAAAGAGUAUCACGGGUGUUUUCAUUCGUUUUAAAUUUCA